This 3330-nucleotide long non-coding RNA is filed under the name Homo sapiens (human). RNAcentral describes it as "HSALNT0385840". Lineage: Eukaryota; Metazoa; Chordata; Mammalia; Primates; Hominidae. The record is from RNAcentral.
GGCUGAGCCAUCACCCAGCACCAGGUUCCGGUGAGGACCAUAGCAACUCCUGUCCGCACUUUGCAUACUUACAUUAGUUUCCUGAAGAAUUCUCCCAUUGUGCCUUGCCCGACAUCUGAGAGCAGUGAGUGGUCUGCCUGGCAUUGAAAAGGAAAAAGUUUCUGGAAGACCCACCUGGGGCUAGAAGCCUUGAAGUUGCUGUGGGUCUGGGGCUUGUGAAGGGAAGCCGGAAUGGGGGAGGGCUGCGUGGAGGCAGGGGACUGGCCCUGAAGGCCAGAGACGAUCUCCUGGGCUACAGAUCCCAGGCCCCUGGGGUGGGAUGGUGUGUGUGUUGGGGGCACCUGAGUUGCCCACCUCAGGGGAACUUGGGGGUCCUCCAGGGCCCCAACUGCGAAGCCCCUAUUGCUGUUUUUCCUAAGCCCCCAGGCCUAAAAGCUAGAGUCCCAGGGAGAAUAAAACAGCCUGAGCAAAAAGGCUCCAAGGCAGUUCAAAGACAGAGAGAGACUGAGGAUGAAGUUUUCAAGCCACAUCCAAGGGGAGGGCUUUUCAUCUGCCAGCCUUUGAAUCGGGAAUCAAGGCGGGCAAAGUUACUACCAGGUUAAAGUUUAAAUGGCACAGAAAGGGGAGACAGGAAGAUGAAACGACGGCCGUCUGGCCAGGGGAACAAAGCCGGAGCCCAGCCUGGCCACCUGGCCGCAGAGGCGCUGAGUGGUAGCAGUCCCAGCCAGGAGGGGCUGCGACGCUGCCAUUGUUCAGCUGAAGAACGAAAGUAAUUGAAAGGAAAGGUGAGCCAAGGAGAGGCAGCCGGUGCGUAUGACUGCCUGGAUCGUUAGAAAAUAAUUUAAAGGGAACAGGCCUAUCAAGCAGUUUCUCUUAUGGAAAUGCCAUCAUUGAAGAGAAAGGAAGGGGAGGGUGGGGGAACCUUUCAUUCUUUGGAAAAGAGUGAGUUUUUUUCCCCUCACCAAAUAUAGACUUGAAUAUUAUUUGAAAUCCCGUCAUUUGGCAAACUUGCUUUACUCCCUAACUACCUAGGCUGGGGGCCCUCCACAAAACCUUGAGACUUUGGGAACCCUGAUGUCUGGGGGGAAACGGGGAUGACAUGGCUGCAUAGCCACAGGAUUUUCACUAUGAGACCGGGAAGCUCCCUGCAUCCUCAGGAAGCCCAGCCCUUGUUUAACUUCCUCCCUGGUUCUGCCUGCAAUCCUUACCUCAGAAUCGCCCCAGAGCACUGCUGCUUGACCACCUACCAGCUGUGAUUUCUGGGGUCUUGAAGACACAAAUAGGCCCUGUUCUCUAGCCACUUGGGAGGACAAGUGUCAUCGCAAUCCCUAAGGGAGGACAGAAGUCAUUCACGGCACUCUACAGAAGCCAGAAGAUGUGCUUAUAGGCGGUGUUGGGUGUUGUCUUGAGCCCACAGUGGGCCUAAGCUGUACUGGGGAUGUUCGAUGAAAGCAGAGAGAGAAAUAAAAGAUCAUGCAGGAACUUCCAUGAGGAUAGGAAGACAAGAAAGGUCAACACACAGCACGGCCAACAAGCAAGACAGUCUAAGAAUGAACAUGGUGACUUAAAAGAUGACAUGGGGGCUGCAGGGAGGGAGAAACAAACGGGGAGGGAAGCACAAGUCUUGUGAGUGUCUUUUUGGAGAGACAGGACUGAGAUGGGUCUCCAAGAUAAAUUUAGUUUUGGAUCAGGACAGGAAAAGAGAGAAAGGCCCUGAUCUGAGGGUAAGGACGAGAUGCACAAAGAGCAGCACAUUCUGUAACAUGUCAGUAGUGAGUAGAGCUUGCUCUGAAAUGAUCCUGCAUAAUAUUAAAAUCACCCUUGAUAAAAGAUGUGCAGCCAGUCUGGAAACGCCAACAGUGAUUGAGCAUAUAGGUGAUGGGGUUUGCAUGUUUGUUAAUUUAUCUGUUGUUUUUCUUUUUUAUCUUUCCACUAUGAAUAUGUAGUACUUGUGCAUUUAAAAAAUGUUAUAAAUCUGCAAGUUAACAAAUCUAAUGCAUUUCCCUUCAAUCUCAUCAUCCCAAGACUAGACCUUUUUCGGACAGUGGCUUGAAGACAGACAGGCUCUCCUAAGAGAUGGAAGCCCAGGGUGUUCAGCCCCCACUGUCUAAGGCCCCCCAACUCCAGGAGCCCCAUAUGUUCCUACCAGACCAUAGGCUUAACUGGAUGUAGGCCAGGGGUGGGGGAAUGUGCUCUGCUUGGCAUUGUAAGGUGCCAGGCGCACCUGAGCAGCUGGACAGGUGUGACAGAUGCCCUGGAUUGCAUGGAGCUGGCUGUGCCUGUGCACACACACCCGUCUGCACCCCGUCCUCCCCUCCCUACACCUCCCUGUCUUCCCGGCUAGCUCAGGUGUGGUGCAUCUGUGGCCCAUUGGCAGCUCUCUUGCCCGCAGUGCACAGGGAGCUGUCAGGUUAAAAGCUGGCUUGCUCGAUUUGAUCCCACAUGCGAGCUGUUUUAUUUCCCUCUCUCUCCCUUACACGGCUUCGGUGUGCUUUUAUAAAUAUUUCACUAGCCUUGCUAAAGUCUAUUUCAUCUCUCUCUUAAAUUUAUUAAAUAUAAAUGCAGCAACAACUCUACCAUAAGUCUCUCUUUGCUGUCAAAAUCUCAGGCUCCCAUGGAAGUAAAUAUAAUUUGCUUUGUUUACCGUAGGUAACUUGGAGCCCUAUCUGCUAUCUCAACACCCCCUAAGCACCCCCAAAUCUCCCUGUUUUUGUUAGCAGGGGUCUGUCUCAUCCCAAUGUAGUGCACGGGGACACGGGUCACGCUUUGAAGAGGGCGUGACAAAGGGGCUGUUCUCCGACACUCGCAUGGCAGGGAAUUUCUUGGUCCGCUGGUCCCUCAAUGACACAAUCAAUGAGUAAAGGGGGAUACCUUUACUCAUCACCUCAGACCUGAGCACGCCCUGGGCCCCAUUUGGGCAGAGCUUUGCUCUUUGCUUUUCUUUUAAAGUAAAGGGCCCAUCUGCUGCAGCUAGUGACCUGGCCAAAAAAGACACAGACUGCUGUGAAAUGAUUGAGGGCAGUGACUCCCCUCCCACCCCAGGAGCCAGAGCCGACAGAGCCAAGAGCAAGGCAGGAAUUCAGGUCCCCAAAAGCAAGCCAGAAGCACCACCUCCAAGCGCCCUGCCACUUCCUUUGUUCUUUGUUAAUUGCAAAAUAAACACAACCCUGCCCACCGACUGUGGAGAAAGAUUUCUGCCAACUGGGGGACCCGGCAGGUAGUGGGCAGGCAUUUGCCCUCCAUCAACCACAUGUGAUUUCCUGGAGGAGAAGGGGCAGUAGAGAAGGGGCAGAGUGGCAGGGCUGGGAUGGACCUAGCUUAGGGCUUGUA